GUCAAGUCAUCAUGCCCCUUAUGUCUUGGGCUGCACACGUGCUACAAUGGCCGGUACAAUGAGCUGCGAUACCGUGAGGUGGAGCGAAUCUCAAAAAGCCGGUCUCAGUUCGGAUUGGGGUCUGCAACUCGACCCCAUGAAGUCGGAGUCGCUAGUAAUCGCAGAUCAGCAUUGCUGCGGUGAAUACGUUCCCGGGCCUU
RNAcentral lists this ribosomal RNA (200 nucleotides) under uncultured organism. RNAcentral's name for it is "partial small subunit ribosomal RNA". It matches the Rfam family "Bacterial small subunit ribosomal RNA", at positions 1184 to 1382 of the family's 1533-position model. The record is from RNAcentral.